CUUAUCAAGAGUGGUGGAGGAACAGGACCUGCGAAGCCACGGCAACCCCCCGAAUGGGAAAGGUGCCAUUUCCUGCGACGAAGUCGAGAGAUGAGG
Molecule: non-coding RNA, 96 nt
Filed under: chicken gut metagenome
Description: SAM riboswitch (S box leader)
Rfam family: SAM riboswitch aptamer (S box leader)
About the family: The SAM riboswitch is found upstream of a number of genes which code for proteins involved in methionine or cysteine biosynthesis in Gram-positive bacteria. The SAM riboswitch acts at the level of transcription termination control.
Source: RNAcentral